ACGCUGGCGGCAUGCCUAACACAUGCAAGUCGAACGAGAAAGUUCCUUCGGGAACAAUUAAAGUGGCGCACGGGUGAGUAACGCGUAGACAAUCUGCCCUUCAGUCCGGGACAACUUUUCGAAAGAAGAGCUAAUACCGGAUAACAAUGUUUAACCUAAGUUAAGUAUUUGAAAGCUUUAUGUGCUGAAGGAGGGGUCUGCGUCCCAUUAGCUAGUUGGUAAGGUAAAGGCUUACCAAGGCGACGAUGGGUAGCGGGUUUGAGAGGACGAUCCGCCACACUGGAACUGAGACACGGUCCAGACUCCUACGGGAGGCAGCAGUGGGGAAUAUUGCACAAUGGAGGCAACUCUGAUGCAGCAAUGUCGCGUGAGUGAAGAAGGCCCUUGGGUCGUAAAGCUCUUUUAUGGGGGAAGAUAAUGACGGUACCCCAGGAAUAAGCACCGGCUAACUAUGUGCCAGCAGCCGCGGUAAUACAUAGGGUGCGAGCGUUGUUCGGAAUUACUGGGCGUAAAGGGCGCGCAGGCGGAAUAGUAAGUCGGAGGUGAAAGCCCGGGGCUCAACCCCGGAGGGUCUUUCGAAACUGCUAAUCUAGAGAGGGUCAGGGGCCGGCAGAAUUCCUGGUGUAGAGGUGAAAUUCGUAGAUAUCAGGAGGAAUACCGGUGGCGAAGGCGGCCGGCUGGGGCCACUCUGACGCUGAGGCGCGAAAGCGUGGGGAGCAAACAGGAUUAGAUACCCUGGUAGUCCACGCCGUAAACGAUGAGCACUGGACGUCCGGAGGGUUCGACCCUUCUGGGUGUCUCAGCUAACGCAUUAAGUGCUCCGCCUGGGGAGUACGGUCGCAAAGAACUAAACCUCAAAAGGGAAUUGACGGUG
Molecule: ribosomal RNA, 874 nt
Filed under: delta proteobacterium SCGC AAA008-E19
Lineage: Bacteria; Deltaproteobacteria
Description: SSU rRNA
Rfam family: Bacterial small subunit ribosomal RNA
Source: RNAcentral